Molecule: ribosomal RNA, 361 nt
Filed under: uncultured Proteiniclasticum sp.
Lineage: Bacteria; Bacillati; Bacillota; Clostridia; Eubacteriales; Clostridiaceae
Description: bacterial SSU rRNA
Rfam family: Bacterial small subunit ribosomal RNA
Source: RNAcentral
GAUGAAGGCCUUCGGGUAGUAAAGCUCUUUGAUCAGGGAUGAUAAUGACAGUACCUGAAAAACAAGCUACGGCUAACUACGUGCCAGCAGCCGCGGUAAUACGUAGGUGGCGAGCGUUGUCCGGAAUUACUGGGCGUAAAGGAUGCGUAGGUGGAUAUUUAAGUGGGAUGUGAAAUCCCCGGGCUCAACCCGGGAACUGCAUUCCAAACUGGGUAUCUAGAGUGCAGGAGAGGAAAGCGGAAUUCCUAGUGUAGCGGUGAAAUGCGUAGAUAUUAGGAGGAACACCAGUGGCGAAGGCGGCUUUCUGGACUGUAACUGACACUGAGGCAUGAAAGCGUGGGUAGCAAACAGGAUUAGAUAG